RNAcentral lists this unclassified non-coding RNA (229 nucleotides) under soil metagenome. RNAcentral's name for it is "partial internal transcribed spacer 1". The record is from RNAcentral.
CAGAGUUAUACAACUCCCACACCAUUUGUUAACUUACUCAGUUAUGCCUCGGCGUGAACUGCGUACGGAGGCAGGUCGGGUGUUACCCUGUAGCCUACCCUGUAGGUUACCCGGUAGCUACCCUGUAGGCUACCCUGUAGCGUACCCUGCACCACUCCCGCGCAGCCCGCCGGUGGUACACGAAACUCUUGUUUUAUUGUAUCUUCUGAGCGAAUUAUUUUAAUAAUUA